RNAcentral lists this transfer RNA (86 nucleotides) under Candidatus Competibacteraceae bacterium. RNAcentral describes it as "tRNA-Leu". It matches the Rfam family "tRNA". Rfam says of the family: Transfer RNA (tRNA) molecules are approximately 80 nucleotides in length. Lineage: Bacteria; Pseudomonadati; Pseudomonadota; Gammaproteobacteria; Candidatus Competibacteraceae. The record is from RNAcentral.
GCCGGGGUGGCGGAAUGGUAGACGCAGCGGACUCAAAAUCCGCCGCUGGUGACAGCGUGAGAGUUCGAGUCUCUCUCCCGGCACCA